GAUGAACGCUGGCGGCGUGCCUAAUACAUGCAAGUCGAGCGAACAGACGAGGAGCUUGCUCCUCUGACGUUAGCGGCGGACGGGUGAGUAACACGUGGAUAACCUACCUAUAAGACUGGGAUAACUUCGGGAAACCGGAGCUAAUACCGGAUAACAUGUUGAACCGCAUGGUUUAACGGUGAAAGACGGUCUUGCUGUCACUUAUAGAUGGAUCCGCGCCGCAUUAGCUAGUUGGUAAGGUAACGGCUUACCAAGGCAACGAUGCGUAGCCGACCUGAGAGGGUGAUCGGCCACACUGGAACUGAGACACGGUCCAGACUCCUACGGGAGGCAGCAGUAGGGAAUCUUCCGCAAUGGGCGAAAGCCUGACGGAGCAACGCCGCGUGAGUGAAGAAGGUCUUCGGAUCGUAAAACUCUGUUAUUAGGGAAGAACAAAUGUGUAAGUAACUAUGCACGUCUUGACGGUACCUAAUCAGAAAGCCACGGCUAACUACGUG
RNAcentral lists this ribosomal RNA (497 nucleotides) under uncultured bacterium. RNAcentral describes it as "partial 16S ribosomal RNA". It matches the Rfam family "Bacterial small subunit ribosomal RNA", at positions 28 to 507 of the family's 1533-position model. The record is from RNAcentral.